RNAcentral lists this ribosomal RNA (467 nucleotides) under uncultured bacterium. RNAcentral's name for it is "partial 16S ribosomal RNA". It matches the Rfam family "Bacterial small subunit ribosomal RNA", at positions 28 to 507 of the family's 1533-position model. The record is from RNAcentral.
GACGAACGCUGGCGGCGUGCUUAACACAUGCAAGUCGAACGGAAAGGCUCCAGCUUGCUGGAGUACUCGAGUGGCGAACGGGUGAGUAACACGUGGGUAAUCUGCCCUGCACUCUGGGAUAAGCCUGGGAAAUUGGGUCUAAUACUGGAUAUGACCUUUCUCCUUAUGGGGUUUGGUGGAAAGUUUUUCGGUGUAGGAUGAGCCCGCGGCCUAUCAGCUUGUUGGUGGGGUGAUGGCCUACCAAGGCGACGACGGGUAGCCGGCCUGAGAGGGUGAUCGGCCACAUUGGGACUGAGAUACGGCCCAGACUCCUACGGGAGGCAGCAGUGGGGAAUAUUGCACAAUGGGCGGAAGCCUGAUGCAGCGACGCCGCGUGAGGGAUGACGGCCUUCGGGUUGUAAACCUCUUUCAGCAGGGACGAAGCGUAAGUGACGGUACCUGCAGAAGAAGCACCGGCUAACUAUGUG